GUGCUCUUUUUGGCAGUACAUACACUAAAACUGGAACAAUACAGAGAGAUUUGCAUAGUCCCUGCACAAAGAUGACAAGAAAAUUUGUGAAGCAUUCUUUAUUUUA
Molecule: small nuclear RNA, 106 nt
Organism: Cricetulus griseus (Chinese hamster)
Lineage: Eukaryota; Metazoa; Chordata; Mammalia; Rodentia; Cricetidae
Source: Ensembl